AGGACGAACGCUGGCGGCGUGCUUAACACAUGCAAGUCGAGCGGUAAGGCCCUUUCGGGGUACACGAGCGGCGAACGGGUGAGUAACACGUGGGUGACCUGCCCUUAGCUCUGGGAUAAGCCUGGGAAACUGGGUCUAAUACCGGAUAUGACCUCGCGAUGCAUGUCGUGGGGUGGAAAGCCUUGUGCGGCUAGGGAUGGGCCCGCGGCCUAUCAGCUUGUUGGUGGGGUGAUGGCCUACCAAGGCGACGACGGGUA
Molecule: ribosomal RNA, 257 nt
Filed under: uncultured bacterium
Lineage: Bacteria
Description: partial small subunit ribosomal RNA
Rfam family: Bacterial small subunit ribosomal RNA
Source: RNAcentral